Chiroxiphia lanceolata (lance-tailed manakin) is the source of this 4480-nucleotide long non-coding RNA. RefSeq lists it as uncharacterized. Lineage: Eukaryota; Metazoa; Chordata; Aves; Passeriformes; Pipridae. The transcript has 4 exons. The record is from RefSeq and is a predicted model, not a curated record.
UAGCAUAGAAAGCACCUGGAAUUAUUUAUAUUUUCUAUUUAUAAUAGAUUAACUCUUUGGAUAAUUUCAUAACUAUAUUAAGAAUACAUUUGUUAAUCUUAACAUCCAUUGCAGAAAGAUUAUAUUUACACACAAAUACACAAAGACUUGAUGUGAAAGAGCAGAAAAGAAGAAAAGAAGGUGCCUGAUCCUGUGCCCUUAUUUAUAUACAUGGGUAGUGCCUUUAAGUCAACUUGUAUGAGUGUGGGUCCCAGGUGUGGAUAAAAAUUACAGGUUCUGGUCCAUAAUACUUUAUGCAUCUAUGAUUUUGACAAACUACUAUUUAAACUAUUUUUACAAAUACAUUCUACAGUAACUGUGUCUAUGGGCUCAGGCAUCCAGCCCUGAGAGAAACACAAAGUCUGCAUUUGUAAAAAUCCCCACAACAUGUUAAGAAUUAGCUGUUUUUACAACUCUGCACUGGAACAUACCUGUCCAGCCAGCACAGGGGACGAUCCCUCCAGUGUCCCAGGCUGCACUGGGACCUACAGGAACAGGUUCUCUUUAUUAUAAGACUUAGACAAGUGAGUCUUGGUGAAACAGUAACAGCUUGCUUGAAAUGCAAAACAAGCCCAAAUGCAACUCAAAAUAGAUUCAAAUUGUGUUUUUCUAUCUACCUGCAAAUGUUGCUGUCCAAAAAAGAGACUUCAGUUCAAGAUAACAACAUUACAUUGUCUAUAAAAAUGAAACCAUACAGUUUUCAGAGUACAGGAGCUUCUUAUAUUGGCUGCAUUCUUCAUUAAAGUCUCCUAAUACAAUCUUGGUUUGAAACAUACUUUAGAGAACAAACUAAACAUGUUUGCAAUACUUUGACAGGAAAAUGGAAUUCUUUCCAGACUGAAAGAAUAUGAAUUUUGUAAGUCAAUAAUGACAACAUUUUUGUAGGUAAAAAGUGCAAAUUUGUGUAUAUUACCUCUAAGAAUUUUACACUGCUACCUACAGGGAAUUUCAAAGCGUCCUUCUUUUGUUGUGCUUUACCAGUUGAAUAGUACAUUUUGACCAAGAGUCAUAAAGUAUAUUUGACUGCUGCCUCCUGACUGUACAGAUGCAAAGAACACCUUGAAGGGGGAAAAAAAAAAGAACAAAACAUUAUGCUACUGUCAGUUUACAUUUAUGAGAAUAUUUUUACUCAUAUAAGAAGUUUGAUAGAAUGUCACAGUCCCAAAUACAAGGAUAUAUGGAUAUCACAAAUCAACUUUAAUCCCAUGAGAAACUUCUUAAAGUGAAACUCUACUGUGGUACAACUGGAUUUUUCUUAAUAUAUAUUUCUUUUAUAAUUUGAAAAGACACAGGAGAACAUUUAAAAAUAAUUUAAACAGUUUGGGGGCCCCAGUUUUCCAAAUAUGACAGUAGGACUAAGAAGGUUUCAGAGAACAUUUAUCAAAAUUGCUAUAUACAAGAAAUCAUACUUGAUUAUCCAUACUUUGGUGUCUGCAAUUAAGAGUGUUGUGGGUUUUGUUUCUCCAUGAUGGCUGCUCUGAACUGCCUGUAAUUUCAGUAGCCCAGGAGAGGCAGUCCUGGAGCUGGCUGUUUUUGGGGCUGACUCACCAGCCCUCCCCACUAUAUCUGUGGUGUGGCCAGUUAGCAACAUCUCUAUUUAUUAUCACCUCUGAUAGCAGUGAAGGCUGGGUGGAAUAGGAGUUCUAACAGAGCUGGUGGUGGGAAAGUGCAGAAUAUCCAUAGUGAGGGUUUUGUGGGAUCAGUGACUACAUUGGCUUUGAAUGGGGAAGUUAUACUAAGGUAAGAAAUAACCAAUAACAAAGUUACAAAAAUUAACUGGUCUUCAUGUCAUAGUCAGCUAUUACUCAUUUUUGCUAAAUCACCACACUCAGUAACCUCUGUACCUUGUCAUUUCUUUCACAAAGAAAUUUUAGCUUCUGUGCUUUCUUGUGCAUAAAUACUCCUUCCAGAUUUCCUGUCUCCACAGAGCGUAGUUCAAUGGCUUUCUCUCCCCAGCCCAUGACCUGAUUAGAUUGAAGUUACUCUUUGUGCACACUGAAGGCUUCCCUGUCACUAGAGCUGAGAGCAAGACAAUUCUUUCCCAGUAUCCCAGUCAUGACGAAAGACAAGAAACCAACUUGUUUUAAAAGCAAAGCAGCAGUGAGCAACUAAGGGCAAGUGGCAAAAGAGGAGGGAUAUUUUCUAAAACUCAAACACAUGAAAUCAAUACGUUUUUAAAUCCUUUCAGUUCUUAGGCUGUACAACAGGGUAUCAUUGCUGUAGGCUGGGAGGGUGUCAUUAACAUCUCUGAACCCACUGCAGCAGUAGCCAGGUGAGCCCCAGGGCAGUACCAAGUGAAGUCAGCAUGUGAAAAGGUUUGUGAAAAUUGCUUCAGGCAAGUGUGGAGCUGGGCAAAACACACUGAGGAGAAUAUCUAGUGACGACUUUGGUGACAGCAGAAGGUACCAUCCACUGCCGAGUACACUGCUGUAGAACCCUUCUUUGGCCCCUCAGUCAAACUCAGUACACUCUAUGAAACCACAAUAUAUUCAAGCUUUUUUCAACAUAUACUAUAUUCAAUAUACAUAAAGCUUUUACUGGUUUGCCAGUCUUUGGGGAAAACAUGUUUGUUCAUUUUUAGACAAAUGGAGGAGACACCUGUUGAGGACUGGGAAUGAAAAAAACCCACAGAGAUACCAACAGUGUCCUAUGAUGCAGCAAAGCUUGUUCCCACAAAAACCCAGCCAAGAGCUUUCCAGUGAUGCUGCUGAUUACUGAUUAGGGACUGAUAGCUAUUUUGCAUGCUGUCUCUAGCCCAUGCUUUAAUACUUACUGACCAUAAAGUUGAGCAGUUUUGGGUAGGAAAACGGAGGAAGAUAACUUCUCUUGUGCAAUUCUGUUAAAUAGUUUUACUGCUAUAAUUUAUGUUACCUGGAUACGGAAGAGGGUGUUUUUCUUCUUCCAGUCACAGCUGUGGAGAACUUUUAUUAAACAAGAGAGGCUAGAGAGUCAAAAUAAAGAAGGAAAAAAAAAGCUAAGGCUGAAUAAAGUUAGAAAUAGACAAAUUAAGAAAUUGGCCCUGGAAGGCCGGUGUUUUCCUGCUGUACAUUUUGGUUAGAGCACACUGGGAAAAGGGCUAACAUACAGUAGAAGUGAUACCCCAACCCAGAAACACACCUGGGGUGGCCAUUUGCUUGUUUGAAUGCCUUUUGCUGUUCCCUUGGGGAAGAGCAUGCAGGAGACCUGACCAACAUCAGUCACUCAGAUAUGAGUGGGUGUGUUUUGUGCACGAGCUGGACAGCAACUCUCUCAAGAACUGGUGAGUAUGGUGGCAGAACACUGAGGCAAUAAUUCUACCACUAACACUGUCUGUUUCUCUCCAUAAUAUCCGUUUUGCUUCUAAUAUGUACAGGGAAAAUGAAAUAAGGGCUUUUACUGCUUCUGCACUCUGGGAAUAUCCAGAUUUGUGUCAAACCUCUGAGAUUACAUACUGUAAAUAAUUCAUUACUCACACAAAAGGGCAAAAGUGCUCCCCAAUCUUAUUAACUUGAUGUUUCUUAAAGCCUUUUUUAAUCCUGUUUUAUAGAAAGAAAAUAUUACAUCUAUAUUUAUAUUUAGCCCUACAUAUGUAAAGUAUCUUUCAGCUUAAACAUAGAAUACUUCUACAAUUUUAAUUUCCCAUGGGAUUUGAGCUUCCUCUCUCCAAUUUCUUAUUAACAGAUCGGUCACAGAGGUCCCAACUUUAAGACUAUGAGUAAGUUAUAUUUAGAUUCCCUGCCCUAAAUCCAUUGAUUAUAAUACAAACUAUUUUUUACUUUUUGUAUCAAAAUAUUCUCACCAACUAUGAAAGUUUUCUUUCAAAAUACUUGUUUAAAGAAAUCAAGAAAUGAGCAAAGGAUGACUAGAGAGCACCCUGAGGUUAACACAACACCCUUCUAUCUCUGCAACAUAGAGUGAAGAUUUUGAGUGUUAGCUUGAAGCCCUCCACAGAAGGUGAAACAAACAGCUGUCCUGGCUCCACUACAAGCAGAAUCUCCUCCUACACAGACAACUGCAAGCAUGGGGAGCUUGAGAAUCUGUUAUAAAUACCCUGGGUUGGCAGCCCUGUGAAUUUAAAGUGAUAAAAUUAAGGGGCCAUUUGACAGCAGUUGCAGAUCUCUUCAGUAACUGACCUCUCUGUAGCUGUGAAUUUGUACAUAAAACGUUCUGAGCUAUGAACGACCAAAGCACCUUUUCCCCCUCUGUAAUUCACACAAUUCUCUCUGUGAGAACUGGUGGCAAGCUGCAUCAUCAGUGAGGUUUGUCUGUACAGUUAAAGUGUGAUGCAAUAAACAGCGUGGCAAUAAACAGACUGUGAUCCAAAUGUGAAGCCCCUAUUGCAAUCAUUGGCCAUGUUAACACAAACAUCCAUAAAUCUGUUUACUCUUUACACAUUUGGUUUGCUCAGAAGUUGCUUUAUGUGCCAUACACUUUCACAUGGAUACAAACCUCGUAAAGAAGU